GAGAAUGUAGCUCAAUCGUAGAGUGCAUGCCUAGCAUGCAUGAGGUCCUGGGUUCAGUCCCCAGUACCUCU
RNAcentral lists this transfer RNA (71 nucleotides) under Camelus bactrianus (Bactrian camel). It matches the Rfam family "tRNA". From Rfam's summary of the family: Transfer RNA (tRNA) molecules are approximately 80 nucleotides in length. Their secondary structure includes four short double-helical elements and three loops (D, anti-codon, and T loops). Further hydrogen bonds mediate the characteristic L-shaped molecular structure. tRNAs have two regions of fundamental functional importance: the anti-codon, which is responsible for specific mRNA codon recognition, and the 3' end, to which the tRNAs corresponding amino acid is attached (by aminoacyl-tRNA synthetases). tRNAs cope with the degeneracy of the genetic code in two manners: having more than one tRNA (with a specific anti-codon) for a particular amino acid; and 'wobble' base-pairing, i.e. permitting non-standard base-pairing at the 3rd anti-codon position. RNAcentral also lists the same sequence under 2 other names. Lineage: Eukaryota; Metazoa; Chordata; Mammalia; Artiodactyla; Camelidae. The record is from Rfam by way of RNAcentral.